UACGUAGGGUGCGAGCGUUGUCCGGAAUUAUUGGGCGUAAAGAGCUCGUAGGCGGUGUGUCGCGUCGGCCGUGAAAACCUGGGGCUCAACUCUGGGCGUGCGGUCGAUACGGGCAUCACUUGAGUUCGGCAGGGGAGACUGGAAUUCCUGGUGUAGCGGUGGAAUGCGCAGAUAUCAGGAGGAACACCGGUGGCGAAGGCGGGUCUCUGGGCAGUAACUGACGCUGAGGAGCGAAAGCGUGGGGAGCGAACAGG
This 254-nucleotide ribosomal RNA is filed under the name uncultured bacterium. RNAcentral's name for it is "partial 16S ribosomal RNA". It matches the Rfam family "Bacterial small subunit ribosomal RNA", at positions 524 to 776 of the family's 1533-position model. The record is from RNAcentral.